CCUACAGCUCAUUUGGGAUGUUGUUUGACUGAAGGAUUAAAUUACAUGAUAACUUAUCACUAAAGGAUAUUUUGAUAAUUUUUCAUCAAAAUUUAAAAUCUUUCGAAUAGUCAUGACACAUUGCUAGACGUCAAUCUAGACUUGUAGACUCAUCAGCAUUAAAGAGUUUAAUUUGAGAAUUAAUUAGGAAGAGACCUAGUUGAUUGGGACUUUUGAGCUAACCU
This 224-nucleotide long non-coding RNA is filed under the name Elaeis guineensis (African oil palm). Its description in RNAcentral is "long non-coding RNA (EGUI_LNC001805)". Lineage: Eukaryota; Viridiplantae; Streptophyta; Magnoliopsida; Arecales; Arecaceae. The record is from RNAcentral.